GGAAUCUUAGACAAUGGGCGCAAGCCUGAUCUAGCCAUGCCGCGUGAGCGAUGAAGGCCUUAGGGUUGUAAAGCUCUUUCACCGGGGAAGAUAAUGACGGUAGCCAGAGAAGAAGCCCCGGCUAACUCCGUGACAGCAGCCGCGGUAAUACGGAGGGGGCAAGCGUUGUUCGGAAUUACUGGGCGUAAAGGGCGCGUAGGCGGAACGUCAAGUUAGGGGUGAAAGGCCUGGGCUCAACCUAGGAACGGCCUCUAAAACUGACGAUCUAGAGUCCGGAAGAGGAUGGCGGAAUUCCCAGUGUAGAGGUGAAAUUCGUAGAUAUUGGGAAGAACACCGGUGGCGAAGGCGGCCAUCUGGUCCGGUACUGACGCUGAGGCGCGAAAGCGUGGGGAGCAAAC
RNAcentral lists this ribosomal RNA (398 nucleotides) under uncultured bacterium. Its description in RNAcentral is "bacterial SSU rRNA". It matches the Rfam family "Bacterial small subunit ribosomal RNA", at positions 358 to 773 of the family's 1533-position model. The record is from RNAcentral.